CCAGUAAAUAGAAAACUAGAACAGGUAAGGAUAGUCAAUUGUCUUUGAAAAAGUUUGUGUUUAUAAUCCGCUGAAUCAUAAAAUCAAAUGUUCAGGUAAACUAGUGCACCUUGCAUAAUAAUCUAACGUCCGGUUUUAGAUGUAUUGUGUAUUAUGACUUUUUAAGUCUUGGCGGUUUCAUAUUUCACAAUUUAAUAUUUUAAUAAAAGGAAAGUUGUGAGAGAACUUAAGUACAAAUAAAGAUACAGGAUUUAUUUGCAUACAAUUUAAUGUGUUUCGUAGUUAAAUAUCCUCUUAAAAUACUGCUUAUCCCAAAUUCACUGUAACUGGUCUACUUUUGUGCGUGCUUAUGCAUGUAGUAAGGAUUGUGCACAUUUUUGGAACAACAAAUAUUCAUUUUUAUUACUUAUCAGGGAAUAAAUAUUUAUUUUGCUGAAUAAUUCAUUUCUGUUUUUAUUCAAAGGUUUCGCUUCGUAUCAUAACUGAUUCAAAAUGUAUUUGCUACAAGUGGCAGUCUGUUUCGUUGUUAUCGGAAGCGUUAGCCUAGUUAAUACUGCAACAGUUAGAUGGUUUAACAAGAAUAGACAUGUAUUUGAAAAUAUGAUAUACAGCGAGAGGCAAAUAAUGAAACUCAAGUAUAGUACUGAUAAGAUGUAUAGCUAUAACUAUUAUUAUCCACUUGGAAAAAUAACGAAAUCCAAAACUUUCUGGACAAAGAUAUCAAAAGCACCGUCGUGCUCCGUGGAAUUGCCAUGGUGGUUAAAUAACACACGACAUAAACGAGCUCAGUGUUCAACUUGCUGUCCAAC
Molecule: long non-coding RNA, 809 nt
Filed under: Mytilus galloprovincialis (Mediterranean mussel)
Lineage: Eukaryota; Metazoa; Mollusca; Bivalvia; Mytilida; Mytilidae
Source: RNAcentral